RNA transcript from Dioscorea cayenensis subsp. rotundata (Guinea yam), 2157 nucleotides. It is a transcript of the gene named MMS19 nucleotide excision repair protein homolog, with no coding region annotated. The record is from RefSeq and is a predicted model, not a curated record. The transcript is spliced from 10 exons. NCBI's taxonomy places the organism in Eukaryota, Viridiplantae, Streptophyta, Magnoliopsida, Dioscoreales, Dioscoreaceae.
UGUGUAGGUCAAUGGCAAGGCCAGCUCUGCAGAGAUUUUACUUUCUUUGCUAAAGUGCUACUCCCAUCAAGUGCUUCCAUGGUUUCAUAAAGCUAAUCGUUUCGAAGAGGUUGCUAUGCCUUUUGCUAUCAAUGUUUGGAAACUAAUGGAGAACACUGGUGCUUUCAGUGCUAACUCCAAAAAUCAGGUUGUUCUUGACGCAAUAAUGAUGACAAUGAAGAUUGUAGUUUCUGGUUGUACAGAGGAAAAUCAAUCACUGAUUGUUCAGAAAGGUUAUUCUGUUCUUUUGUCUACCCUGUCACUCAUUUCAGCAAAGCAGCGAGCAGCAUUCCCUGCAUUCAACUUAGAGGGAUUUGGAUUUGUUCCCAAUUUAGUUAGUUUAGCAUGUAAAGAUGAAUGGUUGAUAUCUCUUUUCUCAUCAGUAUUGAUAGCUCUCCGACCUCAGACUAUAAUACCUGAUGUGAAAUUAAUAUUGAAGUUGUUGAUGCUUCUCUUACUGCAAGGACAUGUUCCAGCAACCCAAGCCUUAGCUUCUGCUGUCAAUAAAUGGCCAGAAAACAAUAAUGAAACACAGGGAUCAAAUGUUUGUUCAUUUGAGGAAGCAAUUGACUUGAUUUUUGAGAUGGAUUUAUCAGGUUUACUUUACAGCUGCCCAUUUAAAAAAUUGAGGGACUUGAUUUCCAGUGAGGAAAUUUGUUCUUUGUUUUGUAGCAAUGAUAGAAAUCCUUUUAUAAUUCAUGCUUUGGAAGGGCUGGCAUGGAUAGGCAAGGGUUUGUUGAUGCGAGGACAUGAAAAAGUGAAGGAAAUAGUGAUGCUUUUCAUGAAAUGUUUGCUGUUAAAUCAAGAUGAGAUAAUUACUACUCUUCAAGAUGGUUCUGCAGAUCAAUUUUCUUUCCUCACAGGAUUAGCGGCUGACGCAUUCCGUGUACUUCUCUGUGAUUCAGAUGUAUGCUUGGACAAAAAGUUCCACGCAACAAUAAAGCCACUUCACAAGCAGCGUUUUUUCUCUAGUAUCCUAGUGGUCCUGCUUUCUUCAAUUAAAGGGUCUGGUUCCUGGAGGACGAGGGCUGUUCUUUAUCGAGCCUUUGGACAUGUUAUAUCCAACACUCCACUGGCUGCUGUCAUCGUGCAAGCCAAUCAGAUUUUACCACCAUUGUUGGAUGCCUUGUCUGUGUUGAGUUCAGAUGUCAUGGAUAAAGAUCUUAUAUAUAGCCUCUUAAUGGCCUUAUCUGGUAUCCUCAUGGAUGAUAAUGGAAAAGAAGCUGUUUUGAACAAUGUUCAUUCAAUUAUUGGACGCCUUAUUGGAUUGAUUUCUUACCCCCAUAUGAUGAUUGUUCGGGAGACUGCCAUUCAAUGUCUUGUGGCCAUGUCAGGGCUUCCUCAUGCAAGAAUCUAUCCAAUGAGGUCACAGGUCUUGCGGGCGGUGUCAAAUGCUCUUGAUGAUCACAGAAGAGCUGUCCGUCUUGAAGCUGUUAGAUGUCGCCAAGCAUGGGCAUCGAUUGCAUCAAGAAGUCUCCAUUUCUGAGAAUAGCAAAUUGCUUUUGGCCUUGUUUUGAAGGUUCUCUAUGAUUCUGACAAGUAUUUUGCUUCCAGGUUAUGGACGACCCUUUAACAUCAUUGAAGAAUACAAAACUUGGCUAUUGUAAGAAACCUAAAAUCAAAUAUAAGCGCAAGAAACGACAGUUUUGAAUUGAUGUUCCAUUCAUCCACUAUGUUAAUUCUCCAGGCAAGAAGUGUUUAUUAUUCAAGCCGAAGCAUCUUGUCACCUAUAGAGCUUGCAUAUAACAGCACUGUGCAACUUGAUGCAUUUGAAUGAUGAGAUGCCAUCAGAUGUACCACAGUUACUUACUAUGUCUAUUCUUCCUCGUUGCUGGCAUUCUAUUUCAUGUUGUAUUUGGAUGUUAAUAAUCUACAAAUGUUUUAUGGAGAACUCGCUUGAUUAAUUUAUGUAAGCCUUCUGGUCCUUCCUAGUGUUCGUGUACUUUAGCAUUGGUUCUCAGUUGAUUUUUCUCCAUGGUGAGAGUUAAAGGUGGUGCUAUGGUGUGUGAUUAUGUUAAACACAAGUAGGUUCUAGAUUUGAGUUUUCCUUAGAAUUGAGGAUUUUUAUUUUUUAAAGAAAAUGUUGAUCUGCGUUAUGAUCUCAAGAAGUGUUUUUAA